RNAcentral lists this small RNA (499 nucleotides) under Pan troglodytes (chimpanzee). RNAcentral describes it as "processed transcript". The record is from RNAcentral. Lineage: Eukaryota; Metazoa; Chordata; Mammalia; Primates; Hominidae.
GCGACGCUUCUGGUUCCAGGCCGCCCUCCGGAUCGGACCCUGCGAAUGGUUUUGGCUAUAUCUUCAUGCCCAGAGCCAUGGCUAUCUCCUCUUCCUCCUGCGAACUGCCCCUGGUGGCUGUGUGCCAGGUAACAUCGACGCCAGACAAGCAACAGAACUUUAAAACAUGUGCUGAGCUGGUUCGAGAGGCUGCCAGACUGGGUGCCUGCCUGGCUUUCCUGCCUGAGGCAUUUGACUUCAUUGCACGGGACCCUGCAGAGACGCUACACCUGUCUGAACCACUGGGUGGGAAACUUUUGGAAGAAUACACCCAGCUUGCCAGGGAAUGUGGACUCUGGCUGUCCUUGGGUGGUUUCCAUGAGCGUGGCCAAGACUGGGAGCAGACUCAGAAAAUCUACAAUUGUCACGUGCUGCUGAACAGCAACGUAGUGGCCACUUACAGGAAGACACAUCUGUGUGACGUAGAGAUUCCAGGGCAGGGGCCUAUGUGUGAAAGCAA